CAAGUGAAAAACCUCACAUUGACUCGAUCAUAAUCAAUGUUGCGGAUGAAAUUCAUCCCGAACCGAAGCCACUGGAGCGUGAUGAAGCCCGGCGAGUCGACAGCGGUCGAAUCUAUGAAAUUUAUCUCGGGCCGAAGGCACUGGAGCAUGACGAAGUCCAACGAGUCGAUGGCGGCCGGAUCUGCAAGAAAAAUUCCCAUCGGAGAUGGCUCUGAUGGAGACCCUUCGAUGCUCAAGUCAAAUUUGUCGCAACAGGAGGAGAAGAGCGAGUAUUUUUUUUUGAG
This 284-nucleotide long non-coding RNA is filed under the name Elaeis guineensis (African oil palm). RNAcentral's name for it is "long non-coding RNA (EGUI_LNC028796)". Lineage: Eukaryota; Viridiplantae; Streptophyta; Magnoliopsida; Arecales; Arecaceae. The record is from RNAcentral.